Molecule: transfer RNA, 72 nt
Filed under: Nostoc sp.
Lineage: Bacteria; Bacillati; Cyanobacteriota; Cyanophyceae; Nostocales; Nostocaceae
Also listed under: 3 other names
Description: tRNA-Gly
Rfam family: tRNA
About the family: Transfer RNA (tRNA) molecules are approximately 80 nucleotides in length. Their secondary structure includes four short double-helical elements and three loops (D, anti-codon, and T loops).
Source: RNAcentral
GCGGGUGUAAUUCAGUGGUAGAAUGUCAUCUUCCCAUGUUGAUCGUCGUGGGUUCGAGUCCCAUCACCCGCU